This 1497-nucleotide long non-coding RNA is filed under the name Homo sapiens (human). RNAcentral describes it as "HSALNT0211765". The record is from RNAcentral. Lineage: Eukaryota; Metazoa; Chordata; Mammalia; Primates; Hominidae.
AUAUGGCCAAAUAGAAGCCUCCACCAAUUGUUCUCCCCACAGGGACACCAAAUUGAAUGACUAUCCACACAGAAAAGUGUCUUCAUAAGAACCAAAAUCAACAACAACAACAACAACAACAACAACAAGAACCAAAACCCAGGCUAAAAGUUUCUUGUCAGUAGAUGCUUCUGAGUCUGUCUAUAAACCUGCUCACCAGGAUGCAGUUUCAUUUGUCAGCGCUGCUCUUAGAACACGGUAUCCAUGAGAACACAACACUCCAGCUGUGCUCACGCCAGUGAGGACAGCAGUGGGCCCAUCCAUUUAGUUUGAUUUGUUCCUUCCUCCUCUUCCAACCACACUCUUCCUAGGUCACCACAACGGCCUCUACAGGGUAAAGCCAUGUUAAUGUUAUACAUUGAUUUUAUGACAAAAUCAAGGCAUUGUGGUUUUAGUGCAGCCCAGAUGAGUCCCCGAGGAUCAGCGUUACCACAGCUACCUGGUAAAAGGAAACCCUGGAAUGAGCCUCAUUACUGCUGUAAUAUAAUGUGCUCUAAGCAAUUGCCCUUCCACCUUUCCCCUUCCCAAACAGCCAGGGCAAGAAGCCCGAGUUCUUGGCUGUAACUGAUAAACAGUGUGAUGAGAACAGUUUGUUUAAUUCUCGUUAAUGAGUUGGCUGCAGUAAAUUCCCAGCAACUAAGGACUGAGAACCUCAGAGGCAGGGCUACAGCAUCCUUCAAUGGGAAGUUUUAGGGCUGCUCUGUCCAGCUUCUAAAGUGUGAAGCCAAGAUGUGUGGGAGACUGACCGAGGGUCACAGCUCAUGUCUGAUAGCAAUACAGACAACUCUGGAACUUGGGUCCUAGUGUGUUGCUUAGCUGUUGGUGCAAGACAACAGAAUAGGCAGAUGGGAAUUUGGGAGCCACCUUUUGUGGUGUGUACUUUAAUGGCUGUAGAUAGUUUCUGGAUUGGUCAAGGUCUCCUUUACACAGUCCAGUGGGGGAGAAGUCAAUGCCAAUUGUCCUACAAGCAUUACAUGACAGAGGAUUCUCUCCCUAUUGCAUUAAUUCUUUAGCAGUGAGCCCGGAAAGAUAGUAGGGCCCGCAAGACCCCCUCCUAGCAGUGCCUCUAGCAGACAUUGGAAGCCAGCUUUUAGUGUGAACUCACCAGCCAUAAAAAUGUCAGGCCACUGAACAGCUGCGGCUCUUCAGGGUCAAAUAGCUCACAUUCAAGGCAGAAAGAGAGGACUGUUUUCUGUAAAAGGCAUUUUAAGAGAAUUCCUAAUAAUGAGGUCUUCUGAUGGGAGAGUAACUAAUGAAGGUGGUUUGAGGGAAGGAAGAAAGGGAGGUUGGGAAGGAAGGAAGUUGAGAAGGAGGGAGCAAAGUCUUUUCCUGUGAGCCUUGUAAUGACAGUCAGCUUGCAAAAAUUAUCUUAAACUUGAAAUCCAAAAGGCUUAUAAUCUGAACUGCUUGAGAGUGACUAGCUCACUAGUGACAAGCCCUCCUUAUUAUUUCUUCCCU